This 467-nucleotide ribosomal RNA is filed under the name uncultured bacterium. RNAcentral's name for it is "bacterial SSU rRNA". It matches the Rfam family "Bacterial small subunit ribosomal RNA", at positions 335 to 794 of the family's 1533-position model. The record is from RNAcentral.
ACUCCUACGGGAGGCAGCAGUGGGAAUAUUGCACAAUGGGCGCAAGCCUGAUGCAGCCGACGCCGCGUGUGUGAAGAAGGCCUUCGGGUUGUAAAGCACUUUCAGUCGUGAGGAAGGUAGUGUAGUUAAUAGCUGCAUUAUUUGACGUUAGCGACAGAAGAAGCACCGGCUAACUCCGUGCCAGCAGCCGCGGUAAUACAGAGGGUGCGAGCGUUAAUCGGAUUUACUGGGCGUAAAGCGUGCGUAGGCGGCUGAUUAAGUCGGAUGUGAAAUCCCUGAGCUUAACUUAGGAAUUGCAUUCGAUACUGGUCAGCUAGAGUAUGGGAGAGGAUGGUAGAAUUCCAGGUGUAGCGGUGAAAUGCGUAGAGAUCUGGAGGAAUACCGAUGGCGAAGGCAGCCAUCUGGCCUAAUACUGACGCUGAGGUACGAAAGCAUGGGGAGCAAACAGGAUUAGAUACCCUGGUAGU